This 547-nucleotide ribosomal RNA is filed under the name uncultured eukaryote. RNAcentral's name for it is "SSU rRNA". It matches the Rfam family "Eukaryotic small subunit ribosomal RNA", at positions 21 to 570 of the family's 1831-position model. The record is from RNAcentral.
UGUAGUCAUAUGCUUGUCUCAAAGAUUAAGCCAUGCAUGUCUAAGUAUAAGCAAUUAUACGGCGAAACUGCGAAUGGCUCAUUAAAUCAGUUAUCGUUUAUUUGAUAGUACCUUGCUACAUGGAUAACCGUGGUAAUUCUAGAGCUAAUACAUGCUAAAAAUCCCGACUUCGGAAGGGAUGUAUUUAUUAGAUUAAAAACCAAUGCCCUUCGGGGCUCUCUGGUGAUUCAUAAUAACUUCUCGAAUCGCACGGCCUUGAGCCGGCGAUGGUUCAUUCAAAUUUCUGCCCUAUCAACUUUCGACGGCUGGGUCUUGGCCAGCCAUGGUGACAACGGGUAACGGAGGGUUAGGGCUCGACCCCGGAGAAGGAGCCUGAGAAACGGCUACUACAUCCAAGGAAGGCAGCAGGCGCGCAAAUUACCCAAUCCCGACUCGGGGAGGUAGUGACAAUAAAUACUGAUACAGGGCUCUUUUGGGUCUUGUAAUUGGAAUGAGUACAAUUUAAAUCCCUUAACGAGGAACAAUUGGAGGGCAAGUCUGGUAAUCG